Molecule: ribosomal RNA, 380 nt
Filed under: uncultured bacterium
Lineage: Bacteria
Description: bacterial SSU rRNA
Rfam family: Bacterial small subunit ribosomal RNA
Source: RNAcentral
GACGAACGCUGGCGGCGUGCUUAACACAUGCAAGUCGAGCGGUAAGGCCCUUUCGGGGGUACGACGAGCGGCGAACGGGUGAGUAACACGUGGGUGACCUGCCCUUAGCUCUGGGAUAAGCCUGGGAAACUGGGUCUAAUACCGGAUAUGACUCCAUGACGCAUGUUGUGGGGUGGAAAGCCUUGUGCGGCUAGGGAUGGGCCUGCGGCCUAUCAGCUUGUUGGUGGGGUGAUGGCCUACCAAGGCGACGACGGGUAGCCGGCCUGAGAGGGCGACCGGCCACACUGGGACUGAGACACGGCCCAGACUCCUACGGGAGGCAGCAGUGGGGAAUCUUGCGGCAAUGGGCGAAAGCCUGACGCAGCGACGCCGCGUGGGGA